Molecule: ribosomal RNA, 253 nt
Filed under: uncultured bacterium
Lineage: Bacteria
Description: partial 16S ribosomal RNA
Rfam family: Bacterial small subunit ribosomal RNA
Source: RNAcentral
UACGAAGGGUGCAAGCGUUACUCAGAAUUACUGGGCGUAAAGCGUGCGCAGGCGGUUUUGUAAGCCAGAUGUGAAAUCCCCGGGCUUAACCUGGGAAUGGCAUUUGGGACUGCAAGGCUUGAGUGCGGCAGAGGAGACUGGAAUUCCUGGUGUAGCAGUGAAAUGCGUAGAUAUCGGGAGGAACACCAGUGGCGAAGGCGGUUGCCUGGGGCUUUGCUGACGCUGAUGCGCGAAAGCGUGGGGAGCGAUCCGG